Molecule: ribosomal RNA, 102 nt
Filed under: uncultured bacterium
Lineage: Bacteria
Description: partial 16S ribosomal RNA
Rfam family: Bacterial small subunit ribosomal RNA
Source: RNAcentral
GUCUACGCGAAGAACCUUAUCUAGGCUUGACAUCCCUGGAACCUCCCGGAAACGGGGGGGUGCUCGCAAGAGAGCCAGGAGACAGGUGAUGCAUGGCUGUCG